Molecule: non-coding RNA, 234 nt
Organism: Pelobates cultripes (western spadefoot toad)
Lineage: Eukaryota; Metazoa; Chordata; Amphibia; Anura; Pelobatidae
Source: the annotation of a GenBank genome assembly
AUGGGAAACAUUUAGGUUUCUAAAAAUAACUAGGUAAAUUAUCUAUAACUGCAAAAAACAACAACAACAAAACAUACCUCCAGUUUCUUAAAGGAACAACAUUAGGCACUAUAACCAUUACAUCUCAGUGAAUUGGUAAACGUUCAUGGAGUAUCCCUCCAUUCUGUGUUAAAUGUUUUAGAGCAGUUUCUGAGUAUCUGUGUGUCCUUUUGUGUCAAUGUGUGUGUCUGUGAG